RNAcentral lists this unclassified non-coding RNA (382 nucleotides) under uncultured Alphaproteobacteria bacterium. RNAcentral's name for it is "contains 16S-23S intergenic spacer region". The record is from RNAcentral. Lineage: Bacteria; Pseudomonadati; Pseudomonadota; Alphaproteobacteria.
UCCGAGUUGACCCCGGCAGUCUCCUAUGAGUCCCCGGCUUGAACCGCUGGCAACAUAGGACAAGGGUUGCGCUCGUUGCGGGACUUAUCCCAACAUCUCACGACACGAGCUGACGACAGCCAUGCAGCACCUGUGUUCCCGCCAGCCGAACUGAAGGAUCCUGUCUCCAGGAUCCACACGGGACAUGUCAAAGGCUGGUAAGGUUCUGCGCGUUGCUUCGAACUAAACCACAUGCUCCACCGCUUGUGCAGGCCCCCGUCAAUUUCUUUGAGUUUUAACCUUGCGGCCGUACUCCCCAGGCGGAUGACUUAACGCGUUAGCUGCGCCACCGAAACUCCAUGAGCCCCGACAGCUAGUCAUCAUCGUUUACGGCGUGGACUAC